CAGGUGGUCAGGUAGAGAAUACCAAGGCGCUUGAGAGAACUCGGGUGAAGGAACUAGGCAAAAUGGUGCCGUAACUUCGGGAGAAGGCACGCUGAUAUGUAGGUGAAGCGACUUGCUCGUGGAGCUGAAAUCAGUCGAAGAUACCAGCUGGCUGCAACUGUUUAUUAAAAACACAGCACUGUGCAAACACGAAAGUGGACGUAUACGGUGUGACGCCUGCCCGGUGCCGGAAGGUUAAUUGAUGGGGUUAGCGGUAACGCGAAGCUCUUGAUCGAAGCCCCGGUAAACGGCGGCCGUAACUAUAACGGUCCUAAGGUAGCGAAAUUCCUUGUCGGGUAAGUUCCGACCUGCACGAAUGGCGUAAUGAUGGCCAGGCUGUCUCCACCCGAGACUCAGUGAAAUUGAACUCGCUGUGAAGAUGCAGUGUACCCGCGGCAAGACGGAAAGACCCCGUGAACCUUUACUAUAGCUUGACACUGAACAUUGAGCCUUGAUGUGUAGGAUAGGUGGGAGGCUUUGAAGUGUGGACGCCAGUCUGCAUGGAGCCGACCUUGAAAUACCACCCUUUAAUGUUUGAUGUUCUAACGUUGGCCCCUAAUCGGGGUUGCGGACAGUGUCUGGUGGGUAGUUUGACUGGGGCGGUCUCCUCCUAAAGAGUAACGGAGGAGCACGAAGGUUGGCUAAUCCUGGUCGGACAUCAGGAGGUUAGUGCAAUGGCAUAAGCCAGCUUGACUGCGAGCGUGACGGCGCGAGCAGGUGCGAAAGCAGGUCAUAGUGAUCCGGUGGUUCUGAAUGGAAGGGCCAUCGCUCAACGGAUAAAAGGUACUCCGGGGAUAACAGGCUGAUACCGCCCAAGAGUUCAUAUCGACGGCGGUGUUUGGCACCUCGAUGUCGGCUCAUCACAUCCUGGGGCUGAAGUAGGUCCCAAGGGUAUGGCUGUUCGCCAUUUAAAGUGGUACGCGAGCUGGGUUUAGAACGUCGUGAGACAGUUCGGUCCCUAUCUGCCGUGGGCGCUGGAGAACUGAGGGGGGCUGCUCCUAGUACGAGAGGACCGGAGUGGACGCAUCACUGGUGUUCGGGUUGUCAUGCCAAUGGCACUGCCCGGUAGCUAAAUGCGGAAGAGAUAAGUGCUGAAAGCAUCUAAGCACGAAACUUGCCCCGAGAUGAGUUCUCCCUGACUCCUUGAGAGUCCUGAAGGAACGUUGAAGACGACGACGUUGAUAGGCCGGGUGUGUAAGCGCAGCGAUGCGUUGAGCUAACCGGUACUAAUGAACCGUGAGGCUUAACCUUACAA
RNAcentral lists this ribosomal RNA (1294 nucleotides) under Escherichia coli. RNAcentral describes it as "partial 23S ribosomal RNA". It matches the Rfam family "Bacterial large subunit ribosomal RNA", at positions 1660 to 2925 of the family's 2925-position model. The record is from RNAcentral. Lineage: Bacteria; Pseudomonadati; Pseudomonadota; Gammaproteobacteria; Enterobacterales; Enterobacteriaceae.